UAAGUAGGGCGGGACACGUGAAAUCCUGUCUGAAGAUCGGGGGACCACCCUCGAAGGCUAAGUACUCCUUGCUGACCGAUAGCGAACCAGUACCGUGAGGGAAAGGUGAAAAGCACCCCGACGAGGGGAGUGAAACAGUACCUGAAACCGAGCGCCUACAAUCAGUCGGAGGCUCCUUGAGAGCUGACGGCGUACCUUUUGUAUAAUGGGUCAUCGACUUGGU
This 223-nucleotide ribosomal RNA is filed under the name Paraphysomonas imperforata. Its description in RNAcentral is "partial Bacterial large subunit ribosomal RNA". It matches the Rfam family "Bacterial large subunit ribosomal RNA", at positions 409 to 632 of the family's 2925-position model. The record is from RNAcentral. Lineage: Eukaryota; Chrysophyceae; Chromulinales; Paraphysomonadaceae.